CUACGGGUUGCUGCAGUGGGGAAUAUUGCACAAUGGGCGCAAGCCUGAUGCAGCAACGCCGCGUGGGGGACGAAGGCCUUCGGGUUGUAAACCUCUUUUAGUAGGGAAGAAGCGCAAGUGACGGUACCUACAGAAAAAGCACCGGCUAACUACGUGCCAGCAGCCGCGGUAAUACGUAGGGUGCAAGCGUUGUCCGGAAUUAUUGGGCGUAAAGAGCUCGUAGGCGGUUUGUCGCGUCUGCUGUGAAAAUCCGAGGCUCAACCUCGGACCUGCAGUGGGUACGGGCAAACUAGAGUGCGGUAGGGGAGAUUGGAAUUCCUGGUGUAGCGGUGGAAUGCGCAGAUAUCAGGAGGAACACCAAUGGCGAAGGCAGAUCUCUGGGCCGUAACUGACGCUGAGGAGCGAAAGCGUGGGGAGCGAACAGGAUUAGAUACCCUCGUAGUC
RNAcentral lists this ribosomal RNA (444 nucleotides) under uncultured bacterium. RNAcentral's name for it is "partial 16S ribosomal RNA". It matches the Rfam family "Bacterial small subunit ribosomal RNA", at positions 339 to 795 of the family's 1533-position model. The record is from RNAcentral.